AAGAUUAAGCCAUGCAUGUCUAAGUAUAAACAUUUGUACUGUGAAACUGCGGACGGCUCAUUAAAUCAGUUAUAGUUUAUUUGAUAGUAACUACUACUUGGAUAACCGUGGUAAUUCUAGAGCUAAUACAUGCACUGAAAUCCCGACUUCUGGAAGGGAUGUAUUUAUUAGAUAAAAAACCAACCCGGGCAACCGGUUCUUUGGUGAUUCAUAAUAACUUUUCGAAUCGCAU
RNAcentral lists this ribosomal RNA (232 nucleotides) under uncultured fungus. Its description in RNAcentral is "partial 18S ribosomal RNA". It matches the Rfam family "Eukaryotic small subunit ribosomal RNA", at positions 40 to 274 of the family's 1831-position model. The record is from RNAcentral. Lineage: Eukaryota; Fungi.